Molecule: ribosomal RNA, 735 nt
Filed under: Thaxterogaster thalliopurpurascens
Lineage: Eukaryota; Fungi; Basidiomycota; Agaricomycetes; Agaricales; Cortinariaceae
Description: eukaryotic LSU rRNA
Rfam family: 5.8S ribosomal RNA (bases 273-426)
Source: RNAcentral
GUUUCCGUAGGUGAACCUGCGGAAGGAUCAUUAUUGAAAUAAACCUGAUGAGUUGCUGCUGGCUCUCUAGGGAGCAUGUGCACACUUGUCAUCUUUAUAUCUCCACCUGUGCACCUUUUGUAGAUCUGGAUAUCUCUCUGAGCGCUUAGCAACUCAGGUUUGAGGAUUGACUUUAUUGUCUCUCCUUACAUUUCCAGACCUAUGUUUCUUNAUAUACCCCAAUGUAUGUCAUAGAAUGUAAUUAAUGGGCCUUUGUGCCUAUAAAUCUAUACAACUUUCAGCAACGGAUCUCUUGGCUCUCGCAUCGAUGAAGAACGCAGCGAAAUGCGAUAAGUAAUGUGAAUUGCAGAAUUCAGUGAAUCAUCGAAUCUUUGAACGCACCUUGCGCUCCUUGGUAUUCUGAGGAGCAUGCCUGUUUGAGUGUCAUUAAUAUAUAUCAACCUCUACAMCUUUUGUUUGUUGAGUUGUUGGAUGUGGGGGCUCUUGCUGGCUUCUCUGAGGUCAGCUCCCCUGAAAUACAUUAGCGGAACGAUCCCCGUUCAUUGGUGUGAUAACUAUCUACGCUAUUGACGUGAAGUAGUUUGGCUUAUAACAGUCCAUUGACUUGGACAAAUUUUCAUUAAUGUGACCUCAAAUCAGGUAGGACUACCCGCUGAACUUAAGCAUAUCAAUAAGCGGAGGAAAAGAAACUAACAAGGAUUCCCCUAGUAACUGCGAGUGAAGCGGGAAAAGCUC